Molecule: ribosomal RNA, 410 nt
Filed under: uncultured microorganism
Description: bacterial SSU rRNA
Rfam family: Bacterial small subunit ribosomal RNA
Source: RNAcentral
CAGCAGCCGCGGUAAUACGUAGGGUGCGAGCGUUAAUCGGAUUUACUGGGCAUAAAGCGUGCGCAGGCGGCCCGUUAAGACAGGUGUGAAAUCCCUGGGCUCAACCUAGGAAUUGCGCUUGUGACUGGCGGGCUCGAGUACGGUAGAGGGGGGUGGAAUUCCUGGUGUAGCAGUGAAAUGCGUAGAGAUCAGGAGGAACACCGAUGGCGAAGGCAGCCCCCUGGGCCUGUACUGACGCUCAUGCACGAAAGCGUGGGGAGCAAACAGGAUUAGAUACCCUGGUAGUCCACGCCCUAAACGAUGGGUACUAGCCGUUUGGUGCGCGAUAGCGCUGAGUGGCGAAGCUAACGCGUGAAGUACCCCGCCUGGGGAGUACGGCCGCAAGGUUGAAACUUAAAGGAAUUGGCGGG